GCUAGUCGCACGAGUUCAGACUCGUGGCGAAUAGCUCAGUAACACGUGGCCAAACUACCCUUCGGAACACAAUACCCUCGGGAAACUGAGGCUAAUAGUGUAUACCAUACCACCACUGGAAUGAGUGGUAUGCCAAACGCUCCGGCGCCGAAGGAUGUGGCUGCGGCCGAUUAGGUAGACGGUGGGGUAACGGCCCACCGUGCCAAUAAUCGGUAUGGGUCAUGAGAGUGAGAACCCAGAGACGGAAUCUGAGACAAGAUUCCGGGCCCUACGGGGCGCAGCAGGCGCGAAACCUUUACACUGCACGACAGUGCGAUAGGGGGAUCCCAAGUGCACAGGCAUAGCGCCUGUGCUUUUCGGUACCCUAAGGCGGUACCAGAAUAAGGGCUGGGCAAGACCGGUGCCAGCCGCCGCGGUAAUACCGGCAGCCCAAGUGAUGGCCGAUCUUAUUGGGCCUAAAGCGUCCGUAGCUGGCCGCGCAAGUCCAUCGGGAAAUCCACCUGCUCAACAGGUGGGCGCCCGGUAGAAACUGCGUGGCUUGGGACCGGAAGGCGCGACGGGUACGUCCGGGGU
RNAcentral lists this ribosomal RNA (573 nucleotides) under Halorubrum ezzemoulense. RNAcentral describes it as "bacterial SSU rRNA". It matches the Rfam family "Archaeal small subunit ribosomal RNA", at positions 53 to 627 of the family's 1478-position model. Lineage: Archaea; Methanobacteriati; Methanobacteriota; Halobacteria; Halobacteriales; Haloferacaceae. The record is from RNAcentral.